Molecule: long non-coding RNA, 748 nt
Filed under: Callithrix jacchus (white-tufted-ear marmoset)
Lineage: Eukaryota; Metazoa; Chordata; Mammalia; Primates; Cebidae
Description: lncRNA (ENSCJAG00000078185.1)
Source: RNAcentral
CUUGUAUCCCCUUGGCCCUUACCAGUCAGUCUGACUUCAGGAGGCCAGCCUUCCUCUGCCUAGAGCCCAUGUAUGGGUCACAAACUCAAAGUAUAAGGGUGUUAAGCCAAGCAGCCCUCAACCACUCAGUGGCAGGAGCUGACCCUGCAGUGUUGUCUUCCCAUGAGAUCCUUCCAAACACCCUGCAAGGUGAGGAGGACUAUCACAUGAUACCAAGAGGAGAUUGGAGCUCGGAGAAGCAUGCUGAUUUCUCCAAACCAUGUCCUCUGGCAAAUGUUGUACAUAUAUUAUUUCAAUGACUCUUCAUCACAGCCCAGGAGUUUGGCAGCAUUAUUAUCCCUAUCUCACAAAUGAGAAAACUGAGCCAUACAUGCAAGAGACUGCUAGAUGCUGUAGGGGAUAAAAAGAAAUAUGUACAACAGUACCUGACCUCAACGAGCCUAAAAUUUUGUAGAGCGAGACACACGUAUACACACAUGAAAAUGCAGUCAUUUCUCACUGGAGCCCAGGAGUUCGAGACCAGCCUGGGCAACUUGGCAAAACCUCGUCUGUACAAAAGAUACAAGUGUCAACUUAUCCACAGUCAGCCUUUGGGAUGCUGCAUCUGCACAGAUUUGUGUCACAACCAUGCUGUUACACUCAGCCUUGACUACAUGCGCCUUUCCUCCCAGAUUCUGUUUCUGUUCUUUCUAAAUCUGGCCUUGGUUAGUACUCUAAAUGCACUCAGUUUCUUCAAUGUCUCCUGAGU